UGAAAUGCGAAAAGUAAUGCGAUUUGCACGAAUCUGUGAGUCAUCAAGUCUUUGAACGCACCUUGCACCGCAUGAGUAAUCGUGCGGUAUACCUGUUUGAGAAUCGUAAAACUCUCUUUCCACUAGCCAGUGGGAGAUUUGUCGGUUGUGCUGCGUCAGCGGCACUCUGAUCAAAAGUAGUAGGUCUGGAUCAGGCUGGUGGCCUGGGACAUUGUGUGCUAGAGACGUCGCUUCGGCUGACCGUCUUCUCACAGUGCGUCCCGGGCCAUCUAAAGCUGGCCUGGUCAGUAGGGCCUUUACAGUGGCCCCUUCGGGGGUCACAACCCCCCUUUUUGAUCUCAAAUCAGGUAAGGCUACCCGCUGAACUUAA
This 370-nucleotide unclassified non-coding RNA is filed under the name uncultured fungus. Its description in RNAcentral is "sequence contains ITS1". The stretch from base 1 to 106 matches the Rfam family "5.8S ribosomal RNA", at positions 49 to 154 of the family's 154-position model. The record is from RNAcentral. Lineage: Eukaryota; Fungi.